CAUCAUUUACCCGUGAAAAAGAAUGAAGUACUGUCUAACACGAUUUGAGCUUGCUCUAGCAAGAGAGUUUAACCUAUUCCAGUAUUUUCUUUUCCAUGAGACAAGCCAUUAUAUAGAUUUAAACAGU
RNAcentral lists this small nucleolar RNA (127 nucleotides) under Carlito syrichta (Philippine tarsier). RNAcentral describes it as "Small nucleolar RNA SNORA28 (ENSTSYG00000027609.1)". It matches the Rfam family "Small nucleolar RNA SNORA28". From Rfam's summary of the family: ACA28 is a member of the H/ACA class of snoRNA that guide the sites of modification of uridines to pseudouridines. The record is from Rfam by way of RNAcentral. Lineage: Eukaryota; Metazoa; Chordata; Mammalia; Primates; Tarsiidae.